UUUUUUUUCUUUUUCCUGGUAGGAUCUUGAUCAAGUUUUUCAUUCUAAUACAAUGGUGGUUCCGAGCCUUUCCUUCCUGUGACUUUAAGGUUCCAGACCUGCUGGGAGGUCAGGGAUGAGAGAGACCUAGGGCCUCCAAGAAGAGAAACCCUUCAUCUUCUCUUGGCUGCCCCAGGCUGGGGCUGGCUGGUUGUCCUGUCGCAGGACUAUGAAAGCGGAGCACAAGCCUGGGCACUUUCCAGCUUCAGAGACCAUCCCAUCCUUGACCAAGAGGAAUUUAGCCACUUCUCACCGUGCUGUCACACCCUAGCCACAGUGUUCCUCAAUGGGGAGCCUGGACAUGGGUCAACGCUGGGGUUUAGCUGAGGGCAAGAGGGAGGGAGCCUUUGCCUCCUCUCCUGUCCUGACUGGGAAGGAUCCAUACUCUUUCCCUAAAAGAAGUCCUUGCGCUUUCACUGAAAGGGCCAACCUCUUGCUGUAGGCCUCUAUCUAGGGUGAAGGGCAGUUUCCAUCCUCCUCCAAAGGGUGGAGUCAGUGCCAACAGCAGCGGGGACCCUCACACAGGACUCCUGAGGCAGCAGAGAAAGCUGAGGGAGGAGGGGUACAGUCCAUAGCCAUCACCUGUCCAUGCCCACACUGCCCUCGACCCCUUGGGAAACAUGAGACAGCAUCUGAUCCCUGCCCUUCCAACCUUCCAGGACCUGAGAGUUUUAGGGAGCCAGACUGGGUUAGGACAGAGGAGACCAUAGUCUGCUAAGUCUCCUUUCACCAGGGCAGGACCACUUUCCAACUCGGCAUCCUGCACUUUACAUGGUCUUCCUUUCAGUACAAGUGCAAACUCAGGACAGAGAAGAGUGAUGGGUAGGGGCAGAUCUUGAAGCGUCUCAAGUGGCUUCCGAGUUCUCUGGAAGGGUUCAGCAACUGCCGAGGCAUCUGGGCAGCAGCCCCCCAGCUCUGUUGGUGUGACUUUUAGAUCUGAUGCUGUGUUUUGCGGACAUCCGAGUCAGAGUAGCUGACUGCACCUGGCCAGAAACUGAUGGGUCUUCCGGGUGUCCAGUCAUCCACUGAAUUGUCCUCGGCCACCGUCUCCUGCUUUAAAUUACUGCCACCAAUCUCAAAAUAUGAACACACACAGGUUAGUGGGGUUUUUCCCCCUCACCUCGACAUCCUUUUGUUCAAUUACGUUUGCUGCUGUAGCUUAGAGACGUGUCCUGAGACACCCAAAUCAACUUGCGCUUCUGAUAAACAAGGAGUCUUCCUCCUUAGCCUCCUGUUCCCAUUGGAAAAAUCCCACAAGCUAAAAAUCUGUAUGAAAAGUGGUCAUUUUCUUCAGGGCUAAAAUCUAUACACAAGAAAAUAAAGAUUUCCGUGUAAAUUUUACUAUUUUAUUUGUGAAAAAACUACAAGCAGAAUUCAUAAAUAGACAUUUCUAUUUAAAGCAGGAAAAUGAUAAAGUGGCUUCUAAUAACAUAGUCGUGCACAUGCCAGUAACAGGAAUAUAUUAACAUCUUUUAUUUGCUAGACAAAGAGCAGUGUCCAAUAUAAAUUUUCCCAAAAC
This 1558-nucleotide long non-coding RNA is filed under the name Canis lupus familiaris (dog). RNAcentral describes it as "lncRNA (ENSCAFG00845007440.1)". The record is from RNAcentral. Lineage: Eukaryota; Metazoa; Chordata; Mammalia; Carnivora; Canidae.